This 846-nucleotide ribosomal RNA is filed under the name Salmonella sp. RNAcentral's name for it is "bacterial SSU rRNA". It matches the Rfam family "Bacterial small subunit ribosomal RNA", at positions 43 to 890 of the family's 1533-position model. The record is from RNAcentral. Lineage: Bacteria; Pseudomonadati; Pseudomonadota; Gammaproteobacteria; Enterobacterales; Enterobacteriaceae.
UACUCGAGCUCCAUGCAAUCAACGGUAACUGGAAGCACUUGCUGCUUUGCUGACGAGUGGCGGACGGGUGAGUAGUGUCUGGGAAACUGCCUGAUGGAGGGGGAUAACUACUGGAAACGGUGGCUAAUACCGCAUAACGUCGCAAGACCAAAGAGGGGGACCUUCGGGCCUCUUGCCAUCAUAUGUGCCCAUAUGGGAUUAUCUUGUUGGUGAGGUAACGGCUCACCAGGGCGACGAUCCCUAUCUGGUCUGAGAGGAUGACCACCCACACUGGAACUGACACACGGUCCACACUCCUACGGGAGGCAGCAGUGGGGAAUAUUGCACAGUGGGCGCAAGCCUGAUGCACCCAUGCCGCGUGUAUGAAAAAGGCCUUCGGGUUGUAAAGUACUUUCAGCGGGGAAGAAGGUGUUGUGGUUAAUAACCGCAGCAAUUGACGUUACCCGCAAAAAAAGCACCGGCUAACUCCGUGCCAGCACCCGCGGUAAUACAGAGGGUGCAAGCGUUAAUCGGAAUUACUGGGCGUAGAGCGCACGCACGCGGUCUGUCAAGUCAGAUGUGAAAUCCCCGGGCUCAACCUGAGAACUGCAUUCGAAACUGGCUGGCUUGAGUCUUGUAGAGGGGGGUAGAAUUCCGGGUGUAGCGGUGAAAUGCGUAGAGAUCUGGAAGAAUACCGGUGGCGAGCGCGGCCCCCCUGCACAAGACUGACGCUCAUGUGCGAAGCGUGGAGAGCAACGGGAUUAGAUACCCUGAUACUCCACGCCGUAAACGAUGUCUACUGAGUGUGCCGUGAAGGCGUCCUCGGAGCUACGCGUUAAGUACACCCGUCUGAGAGUACGGACCGCG